CCUACGGGUGGCAGCAGUGAGGAAUAUUGGUCAAUGGACGAAAGUCUGAACCAGCCAAGUAGCGUGAAGGAUGACUGCCCUAUGGGUUGUAAACUUCUUUUAUAUGGGAAUAAAAUGUUCCACGUGUGGGAUUUUGUAUGUACCAUAUGAAUAAGGAUCGGCUAACUCCGUGCCAGCAGCCGCGGUAAUACGGAGGAUCCGAGCGUUAUCCGGAUUUAUUGGGUUUAAAGGGAGCGUAGGUGGAUUGUUAAGUCAGUUGUGAAAGUUUGCGGCUCAACCGUAAAACUGCAGCUGAAACUGGCAGUCUUGAGUACAGGAGAGGUGUGCGGAAUUCGUGGUGUAGCGGUGAAAUGCUUAGAUAUCACGAAGAACUCCGAUUGCGAAGGCAGUUCACUGGACUGCAACUGACACUGAGGCUCGAAAGUGUGGGUAUCAAACAGGAUUAGAUACCCUAGUAGUC
This 460-nucleotide ribosomal RNA is filed under the name uncultured bacterium. Its description in RNAcentral is "partial 16S ribosomal RNA". It matches the Rfam family "Bacterial small subunit ribosomal RNA", at positions 338 to 795 of the family's 1533-position model. The record is from RNAcentral.